RNAcentral lists this ribosomal RNA (800 nucleotides) under Agromyces sp. 44AGV. RNAcentral's name for it is "bacterial SSU rRNA". It matches the Rfam family "Bacterial small subunit ribosomal RNA", at positions 31 to 836 of the family's 1533-position model. The record is from RNAcentral. Lineage: Bacteria; Bacillati; Actinomycetota; Actinomycetes; Micrococcales; Microbacteriaceae.
GAACGCUGGCGGCGUGCUUAACACAUGCAAGUCGAACGAUGAAGCCCAGCUUGCUGGGUGGAUUAGUGGCGAACGGGUGAGUAACACGUGAGUAACCUGCCCUGGACUCUGGGAUAAGCGUUGGAAACGACGUCUAAUACCGGAUAGGACCCUGGACCGCAUGGUUUGGGGUGGAAAGUUUUUUCGGUCUGGGAUGGACUCGCGGCCUAUCAGCUUGUUGGUGAGGUAAUGGCUCACCAAGGCGUCGACGGGUAGCCGGCCUGAGAGGGUGACCGGCCACACUGGGACUGAGACACGGCCCAGACUCCUACGGGAGGCAGCAGUGGGGAAUAUUGCACAAUGGGCGAAAGCCUGAUGCAGCAACGCCGCGUGCGGGAUGACGGCCUUCGGGUUGUAAACCGCUUUUAGUAAGGAAGAAGGGGAGCUUGCUCCUUGACGGUACUUGCAGAAAAAGGACCGGCUAACUACGUGCCAGCAGCCGCGGUAAUACGUAGGGUCCGAGCGUUGUCCGGAAUUAUUGGGCGUAAAGAGCUCGUAGGCGGUUUGUCGCGUCUGCUGUGAAAUCUGGAGGCUCAACCUCCAGCCUGCAGUGGGUACGGGCAGACUAGAGUGCGGUAGGGGAGAAUGGAAUUCCUGGUGUAGCGGUGGAAUGCGCAGAUAUCAGGAGGAACACCGAUGGCGAAGGCAGUUCUCUGGGCCGUAACUGACGCUGAGGAGCGAAAGCGUGGGGAGCGAACAGGAUUAGAUACCCUGGUAGUCCACGCCGUAAACGUUGGGCGCUAGAUGUGGGGACCUUUCCA